UGAGGAAUUUUGCGCAAUGGGAGCAAUCCUGACGCAGCAACGCCGCGUGGGUGAUGAAGGCCUUCGGGUCGUAAAGCCCUGUCAGGUGGGAAGAAUGUCCCGGAACUGAACAGGUUUCGGGAGUGACGGUACCAUCAGAGGAAGCACCGGCUAACUCCGUGCCAGCAGCCGCGGUAAUACGGAGGGUGCAAGCGUCAUUCGGAAUUACUGGGCGUAAAGCGCGUGUAGGCGGUCCUGCAAGUCUGAUGUGAAAGCCCCGGGCGUAACCCGGGAAGUGCAUUGGAGACUGCGGGACUUGAGUACUGGAGAGGAUGGGGGAAUUCCCGGUGUAGAGGUGAAAUUCGUAGAGAUCGGGAGGAAUAUCAGUGGCGAAGGCGCCCAUCUAGACGGUAACUGACGCUGAGACGCGAGAGCGUGGGGGGCAAACA
This 428-nucleotide ribosomal RNA is filed under the name uncultured prokaryote. RNAcentral's name for it is "bacterial SSU rRNA". It matches the Rfam family "Bacterial small subunit ribosomal RNA", at positions 355 to 774 of the family's 1533-position model. The record is from RNAcentral.